UACGUAGGGACCAAGCGUUGUUCGGAUUUACUGGGCGUAAAGGGCUCGUAGGCGGCCAACUAAGUCAGACGUGAAAUCCCCAGGCUCAACCUGGGAACUGCGUCUGAUACUGGAUGGCUUGAAUCCGGGAGAGGGAUGCAGAAUUCCAGGUGUAGCGGUGAAAUGCGCAGAUAUCAGGAGGAACACCGGUGGCGAAGGCGGAUCUCUGGGCCGAUACUGACGCUGAGGAGCGAAAGCGUGGGGAGCGAACAGG
This 253-nucleotide ribosomal RNA is filed under the name uncultured bacterium. RNAcentral describes it as "partial 16S ribosomal RNA". It matches the Rfam family "Bacterial small subunit ribosomal RNA", at positions 524 to 776 of the family's 1533-position model. The record is from RNAcentral.